Molecule: ribosomal RNA, 370 nt
Filed under: uncultured eukaryote
Lineage: Eukaryota
Description: partial 18S ribosomal RNA
Rfam family: Eukaryotic small subunit ribosomal RNA
Source: RNAcentral
CAAUAGCGUAUAUUAAAGUUGUUGCAGUUAAAAAGCUCGUAGUUGGACCUUGGACCUGGACAGGCGGUCCGCCUCACGGCGAGUACUGUCUUGCCGGGCCUUUCCUCUUGGUGAUCUGUUGUUUCGGCAGCAGGGAACCAGGACCUUUACUUUGAAAAAAUUAGAGUGUUCAAAGCAGGCUCGACGCCGGAAUAUAUUAGCAUGGAAUAAUAAAAUAGGACGUGCGGUUCUAUUUUGUUGGUUUUUGGAAUCGCCGUAAUGAUUAAUAGGGACAGUCGGGGGCAUUAGUACUCACAUGCUAGAGGUGAAAUUCUUGGAUUUUGUGAAGACUAACUUCUGCGAAANGANNNGCGAAGGAUGUUUUCGUNAA